RNAcentral lists this transfer RNA (72 nucleotides) under Marmota monax (woodchuck). It matches the Rfam family "tRNA". Rfam says of the family: Transfer RNA (tRNA) molecules are approximately 80 nucleotides in length. Their secondary structure includes four short double-helical elements and three loops (D, anti-codon, and T loops). Further hydrogen bonds mediate the characteristic L-shaped molecular structure. tRNAs have two regions of fundamental functional importance: the anti-codon, which is responsible for specific mRNA codon recognition, and the 3' end, to which the tRNAs corresponding amino acid is attached (by aminoacyl-tRNA synthetases). tRNAs cope with the degeneracy of the genetic code in two manners: having more than one tRNA (with a specific anti-codon) for a particular amino acid; and 'wobble' base-pairing, i.e. permitting non-standard base-pairing at the 3rd anti-codon position. The record is from Rfam by way of RNAcentral. Lineage: Eukaryota; Metazoa; Chordata; Mammalia; Rodentia; Sciuridae. RNAcentral also lists the same sequence under 1 other name.
UGUGUUGUAGCUCAGUGGUAGAGAGCUUGCAUAGCAUGUGUGAGUCCCUGGGUUUGAUCCCCAGCACCACAU